This 457-nucleotide ribosomal RNA is filed under the name uncultured Rhodoferax sp. RNAcentral's name for it is "bacterial SSU rRNA". It matches the Rfam family "Bacterial small subunit ribosomal RNA", at positions 923 to 1382 of the family's 1533-position model. The record is from RNAcentral. Lineage: Bacteria; Pseudomonadati; Pseudomonadota; Betaproteobacteria; Burkholderiales; Comamonadaceae.
GCACAAGCGGUGGAUGAUGUGGUUAAUUCGAUGCAACGCGAAAACCUUACCCACCUUUGACAUGUACGGAAGCCUUUAGAGAUAGAGGCGUGCUCGAAAGAGAGCCGUAACACAGGUGCUGCAUGGCUGUCGUCAGCUCGUGUCGUGAGAUGUUGGGUUAAGUCCCGCAACGAGCGCAACCCUUGUCAUUAGUUGCUACAUUCAGUUGGGCACUCUAAUGAGACUGCCGGUGACAAGCCGGAGGAAGGUGGGGAUGACGUCAAGUCCUCAUGGCCCUUAUAGGUGGGGCUACACACGUCAUACAAUGGCUGGUACGAAGGGUUGCCAACCCGCGAGGGGGAGCUAAUCCCAUAAAGCCAGUCGUAGUCCGGAUCGUAGUCUGCAACUCGACUACGUGAAGUCGGAAUCGCUAGUAAUCGUGGAUCAGAAUGUCACGGUGAAUACGUUCCCGGGUCUU